UACGGAGGAUCCGAGCGUUAUCCGGAUUUAUUGGGUUUAAAGGGUCCGCAGGCGGGAUAUUAAGUCAGUGGUGAAAGGCUGUCGCUCAACGAUAGCACUGCCAUUGAUACUGGUAUUCUUGAGUAUAGUUGAGGUGGGCGGAACAAGUCAUGUAGCGGUGAAAUGCAUAGAUAUGACUUAGAACACCGAUUGCGAAGGCAGCUCACUAAGCUAAUACUGACGCUGAGGGACGAAAGCGUGGGUAGCAAACAGG
This 253-nucleotide unclassified non-coding RNA is filed under the name uncultured Cryomorphaceae bacterium. RNAcentral's name for it is "contains 16S-23S intergenic spacer region". It matches the Rfam family "Bacterial small subunit ribosomal RNA", at positions 524 to 776 of the family's 1533-position model. The record is from RNAcentral. Lineage: Bacteria; Pseudomonadati; Bacteroidota; Flavobacteriia; Flavobacteriales; Cryomorphaceae.